GACGAACGCUGGCGGCGUGCUUAACACAUGCAAGUCGAACGGAAAGGCCCUGCUUUUGUGGGGUGCUCGAGUGGCGAACGGGUGAGUAACACGUGAGUAACCUGCCCUUGACUUUGGGAUAACUUCAGGAAACUGGGGCUAAUACCGGAUAGGAGCUCCUGCUGCAUGGUGGGGGUUGGAAAGUUUCGGCGGUUGGGGAUGGACUCGCGGCUUAUCAGCUUGUUGGUGGGGUAGUGGCUUACCAAGGCUUUGACGGGUAGCCGGCCUGAGAGGGUGACCGGCCACAUUGGGACUGAGAUACGGCCCAGACUCCUACGGGAGGCAGCAGUGGGGAAUAUUGCACAAUGGGCGGAAGCCUGAUGCAGCAACGCCGCGUGCGGGAUGACGGCCUUCGGGUUGUAAACCGCUUUCGCCUGUGACGAAGCGUGAGUGACGGUAAUGGGUAAAGAAGCACCGGCUAACUACGUGCCAGCAGCCGCGGUGAUACGUAGGGUGCGAGCGUUGUCCGGAUUUAUUGGGCGUAAAGGGCUCGUAGGUGGUUGAUCGCGUCGGAAGUGUAAUCUUGGGACUUAACCCUGAGCGUGCUUUCGAUACGGGUUGACUUGAGGAAGGUAGGGGAGAAUGGAAUUCCUGGUGGAGCGGUGGAAUGCGCAGAUAUCAGGAGGAACACCAGUGGCGAAGGCGGUUCUCUGGGCCUUUCCUGACGCUGAGGAGCGAAAGCGUGGGGAGCGAACAGGCUUAGAUACCCUGGUAGUCCACGCUGUAAACGGUGGGUACUAGGUGUGGGGUCCAUUCCACGGGUUCCGUGCCGUAGCUAACGCUUUAAGUACCCCGCCUGGGGAGUACGGCCGCAAGGCUAAAACUCAAAGGAAUUGACGGGGCCCCGCACAAGCGGCGGAGCAUGCGGAUUAAUUCGAUGCAACGCGUAGAACCUUACCUGGGUUUGACAUGGAUCGGGAGUGCUCAGAGAUGGGUGUGCCUCUUUUGGGGUCGGUUCACAGGUGGUGCAUGGCUGUCGUCAGCUCGUGUCGUGAGAUGUUGGGUUAAGUCCCGCAACGAGCGCAACCCUUGUUCACUGUUGCCAGCACGUUAUGGUGGGGACUCAGUGGAGACCGCCGGGGUCAACUCGGAGGAAGGUGGGGAUGACGUCAAGUCAUCAUGCCCCUUAUGUCCAGGGCUUCACGCAUGCUACAAUGGCUGGUACAGAGAGUGGCGAGCCUGUGAGGGUGAGCGAAUCUCGGAAAGCCGGUCUCAGUUCGGAUUGGGGUCUGCAACUCGACCUCAUGAAGUCGGAGUCGCUAGUAAUCGCAGAUCAGCAACGCUGCGGUGAAUACGUUCCCGGGGCU
RNAcentral lists this ribosomal RNA (1346 nucleotides) under uncultured bacterium. RNAcentral's name for it is "partial 16S ribosomal RNA". It matches the Rfam family "Bacterial small subunit ribosomal RNA", at positions 28 to 1381 of the family's 1533-position model. The record is from RNAcentral.